This 502-nucleotide ribosomal RNA is filed under the name uncultured bacterium. RNAcentral describes it as "partial 16S ribosomal RNA". It matches the Rfam family "Bacterial small subunit ribosomal RNA", at positions 28 to 523 of the family's 1533-position model. The record is from RNAcentral.
GACGAACGCUGGCGGCGUGCCUAAUACAUGCAAGUCGAGCGAAGUGGAGAGAGCUUGCUCUCGAAGCUUAGCGGCGAACGGGUGAGUAACACGUGGGCAACCUGCCCGAUAGACCGGGAUAACUUGGGGAAACUCAAGCUAAUACCGGAUAGGAUCAUUAACCGCCUGGGUGGUGAUGGAAAGUCUGAACGACACUAUUGGAUGGGCCCGCGGCGCAUUAGCUAGUUGGUGGGGUAACGGCCUACCAAGGCGACGAUGCGUAGCCGACCUGAGAGGGUGACCGGCCACACUGGGACUGAGACACGGCCCAGACUCCUACGGGAGGCAGCAGUAGGGAAUCUUCCACAAUGGGCGAAAGCCUGAUGGAGCAACGCCGCGUGAGUGAUGAAGGUUUUCGGAUCGUAAAACUCUGUUGUUAGGGAAGAACACCCGGGAGAGGAUCCCGGUUUGACGGUACCUGACGAGAAAGCCCCGGCUAACUACGUGCCAGCAGCCGCCGUAA